UCUGACGCUGCAUGCACGAAAGCGUGGGGAUGCGAACAGGAUUAGAUACCCUGGUAGUCCACGCCCUAAACGAUGAUAACUAGCUGUUGGGGCCGUUAGGCCUUAGUCCCGCAGCUAACGCGUGAAGUUGACCGCCUGGGGAGUACGGUCGCAAGAUUAAAACUCAAAGGAAUUGACGGGGACCCGCACAAGCGGUGGAUGAUGUGGAUUUAUUUGAUGCAACGCGAAAAACCUUACCUGCUCUUGACAUGUCUGGAAAUCCGAAGAGAUUUCCUUCCUUCCGCAAGAGAAACUAGAACACAGGUGCUGCAUGGUUGUCUCCAGCUCGUGUCGUGAGAUGUUGGGUUAAGUCCCGCAACAAGCGCAACCCUUGUUUUAGUUGCUACAUGGGAGGGACUCUAAUACAAACUGGCCUGCACAAGCAGAGAGGAAGGGGGGGGAGGACGUCAAGUCAUCAUGGGCCCUUAUCGUCUAGGGGCUACGCACGUCACUACAAUGGUAUGGUACAGACGGGUCAGCCUACACGCGAGUGUGAUGCCAAUCUCAUAAAACCCGAUUCACAGUCCGGAUCGCAGUCUGCAACUCGACUGCGUGAAGUCAGAAUUCGCUAGUAAUCGCAGUAUCAGAAUAGUCACGCGUGAAUAUCACUUCCCGGGUCCU
This 660-nucleotide ribosomal RNA is filed under the name Alcaligenes sp. RNAcentral describes it as "bacterial SSU rRNA". It matches the Rfam family "Bacterial small subunit ribosomal RNA", at positions 739 to 1382 of the family's 1533-position model. Lineage: Bacteria; Pseudomonadati; Pseudomonadota; Betaproteobacteria; Burkholderiales; Alcaligenaceae. The record is from RNAcentral.